UUCUCACUCUAAAACUUCUCUCUUAAAAGUGAAAAUGGAAGAAGAAAUGAAGUGUGGGAAAUGAGGGAAAAAGACAGAUUUUAAAUAGGCAUGGAGAAGGAUUGGAUGUGUGCCCCAUGGCAAGCAUCCAAGAAUGAAGAGUAAAGGUGAGUGAAGUGAUGUGUCCAUGGGACCUGCGACAUGGGGGAGGCAUGGGAGUUUUUCUCUUUUUUGGUUUUCCU
Molecule: long non-coding RNA, 221 nt
Filed under: Carica papaya (papaya)
Lineage: Eukaryota; Viridiplantae; Streptophyta; Magnoliopsida; Brassicales; Caricaceae
Description: long non-coding RNA (CPAP_LNC003448)
Source: RNAcentral